UCUACAAAGUAACUUGGAAAAUAUUCAGUUCAUGAAUCCUCAAUGAUAUGUUGAUCACAACUUGUGGCAAAAAAUACAAGAACAACUGGAAGAUUCAUAUGAAUUUGAGGAAGAUAUGAGUUUGGACAUGGAUUUUCAAGUGUGGCGUGAUGAUAUCUCUUCUUUUGUUGGACGAAGGGCAUUCGUGAGCUUUGAAGGCAAUGAUGCCCGUAGAUUCAUGAAGUCUCUGUAUAGUGCCUUGGGUUCCAUUGGGAUAGAGGCAUUCCAAGAUGCUGAGAGCAUGAGAAGUGGGCAAGAAGCCCGACUAAAUGCGCUCAAAGCAAUUGAAGAGUCUGAGAUUUGCAUUACUUUAUUCUCACCAAACUAUGCAUCUUCCAAACAGUGUCUUGUAGAACUUCUAGCGAGUCUUGAUGGUAGAAGAACACAGGGCACGUGGGUUGUUCGAGCUUUCUACUAAGUACCACUUUCAGUCGUCCGGGAUGGUGAAGAAGGAAGUAUUAUGAGAGCAAUAGCUACGCUUGAAGCUGGAUUCUCUGAUGACAUGAAAGUAGUACGGACGAGGAGUUGGGCUCUGUCUGAUUUAUGCUACGUUGCUUCUAAUGGAAUAGUGAUAUAUAAGGGAAACUUAGGUGACGAGAUCCGGCACAUUGUUGAUGUCUGUUGCACAUUACUGAGACGCGGCCGGCCUACUGCACAAAGCUGACCACCUUGUUGUAUUCAGAAGAGAAAUGGCUUUGGAUUUAAUUUGAUUUCCAGUCAAUUAGAUGCUGCUGCAAGUUUCUGUUUAGAUAUUAGAUAGAGAAAGUUCAGACCAAUCAAAUUCUAUUUUGAAAUUUCUUUCGCUUGAAAAUAUCAUUUGGCGCAUCGCAUAACAUGGCCAACAGGUAGAGGGUACGCAGGGUGAAUUGCCUGUUGUAAAAUGUCAAUAUUUUAGAAGGUAUUUGAUUUAGCUUACUUUAAGUAACUUUACACUAUUAUAUAAGGUAAAUAUGUAAGAAUGAUAUAUUCUUAUAAAAUGAAAAUAUUAUUAUUUUUU
Molecule: long non-coding RNA, 1036 nt
Organism: Neltuma alba
Lineage: Eukaryota; Viridiplantae; Streptophyta; Magnoliopsida; Fabales; Fabaceae
Exons: 3
Source: RefSeq, a predicted model, not a curated record